CGAUCGGUGACAGGUGGUGCAUGGUUGUCGUCAGCUCGUGUCGUGAGAUGUUGGUUAAGUCCCGCAACGAGCGCAACCCCUAUUGUUAGUUGCCAUCAUUCAGUUGGGCACUCUAGCGAGACUGCCGGUAAUAAACCGGAGGAAGGUGGGGAUGACGUCAAAUCAUCAUGCCCCAUAUGACCUGGGCUACACACGUGCUACAAUGGUUGGUACAACGAGUUGCGAGUCGGUGACGGCGAGCUAAUCUCUUAAAGCCAAUCUCAGUUCGGAUUGUAGGCUGCAACUCGCCUACAUGAAGUCGGAAUCGCUAGUAAUCGCGGAUCAGCACGCCGCGGUGAAUACGUUCCCGGGCCUU
RNAcentral lists this ribosomal RNA (355 nucleotides) under uncultured Streptococcus sp. Its description in RNAcentral is "bacterial SSU rRNA". It matches the Rfam family "Bacterial small subunit ribosomal RNA", at positions 1025 to 1382 of the family's 1533-position model. The record is from RNAcentral. Lineage: Bacteria; Bacillati; Bacillota; Bacilli; Lactobacillales; Streptococcaceae.